This 1343-nucleotide ribosomal RNA is filed under the name uncultured bacterium. RNAcentral's name for it is "16S ribosomal RNA". It matches the Rfam family "Bacterial small subunit ribosomal RNA", at positions 28 to 1378 of the family's 1533-position model. The record is from RNAcentral.
GACGAACGCUGGCGGCGUGCUUAACACAUGCAAGUCGAACGGAAAGGCCCUGCUUUUGUGGGGUGCUCGAGUGGCGAGCGGGUGAGUAACACGUGAGUAACCUGCCCUUGACUUUGGGAUAACUUCAGGAAACUGGGGCUAAUACCGGAUAGGAGCUCCUGCUGCAUGGUGGGGGUUGGAAAGUUUCGGCGGUUGGGGAUGGACUCGCGGCUUAUCAGCUUGUUGGUGGGGUAGUGGCUUACCAAGGCUUUGACGGGUAGCCGGCCUGAGAGGGUGACCGGCCACAUUGGGACUGAGAUACGGCCCAGACUCCUACGGGAGGCAGCAGUGGGGAAUAUUGCACAAUGGGCGGAAGCCUGAUGCAGCAACGCCGCGUGCGGGAUGACGGCCUUCGGGUUGUAAACCGCUUUCGCCUGUGACGAAGCGUGAGUGACGGUAAUGGGUAAAGAAGCACCGGCUAACUACGUGCCAGCAGCCGCGGUGAUACGUAGGGUGCGAGCGUUGUCCGGAUUUAUUGGGCGUAAAGGGCUCGUAGGUGGUUGAUCGCGUCGGAAGUGUAAUCUUGGGGCUUAACCCUGAGCGUGCUUUCGAUACGGGUUGACUUGAGGAAGGUAGGGGAGAAUGGAAUUCCUGGUGGAGCGGUGGAAUGCGCAGGUAUCAGGAGGAACACCAGUGGCGAAGGCGGUUCUCUGGGCCUUUCCUGACGCUGAGGAGCGAAAGCGUGGGGAGCGAACAGGCUUAGAUACCCUGGUAGUCCACGCUGUAAACGGUGGGUACUAGGUGUGGGGUCCAUUCCACGGGUUCCGUGCCGUAGCUAACGCUUUAAGUACCCCGCCUGGGGAGUACGGCCGCAAGGCUAAAACUCAAAGGAAUUGACGGGGCCCCGCACAAGCGGCGGAGCAUGCGGAUUAAUUCGAUGCAACGCGUAGAACCUUACCUGGGUUUGACAUGGAUCGGGAGCGCUCAGAGAUGGGUGUGCCUCUUUUGGGGUCGGUUCACAGGUGGUGCAUGGCUGUCGUCAGCUCGUGUCGUGAGAUGUUGGGUUAAGUCCCGCAACGAGCGCAACCCUUGUUCACUGUUGCCAGCACGUUAUGGUGGGGACUCAGUGGAGACCGCCGGGGUCAACUCGGAGGAAGGUGGGGAUGACGUCAAGUCAUCAUGCCCCUUAUGUCCAGGGCUUCACGCAUGCUACAAUGGCUGGUACAGAGAGUGGCGAGCCUGUGAGGGUGAGCGAAUCUCGGAAAGCCGGUCUCAGUUCGGAUUGGGGUCUGCAACUCGACCUCAUGAAGUCGGAGUCGCUAGUAAUCGCAGAUCAGCAACGCUGCGGUGAAUACGUUCCCGGG